ACUGGGUUUCCAUGUCCAACGUUUAACCGUCCUGUCUUAUUUAAAAAAUUUGUGAAAAAAUUUAAAAAGAUAAGUCACGCAUAAAAUAUUAAUUAUGUUUUAUCAUCUAACAACAAUGAAAAUACUAAUUAUAAAAAAAAAUUUAUAUAAGACGGAUAGUCAAACGUUGGACAUAGAAACAUAGGGUUUGUCUUUUU
Oryza glaberrima (African rice) is the source of this 197-nucleotide non-coding RNA. Lineage: Eukaryota; Viridiplantae; Streptophyta; Magnoliopsida; Poales; Poaceae. The record is from Rfam.